UAAUAACUUAGCGAAUCGCAUUAGCCUUUGUGCUGGCGAUGGUACAUUCAAAUUUCUGCCCUAUCAAUUUGAUGGUAGGAUAGAGGCCUACCAUGGUUUUACGGGUGACGGAGAAUUAGGGUUCGAUUCCGGAGAGGGAGCCUGAGAGAUGGCUACCACUUCUAAGGAAGGCAGCAGGCGCGCAAAAUUACCCAAUCCUGAUACAGGGAGGUAGUGACAAGAAAUAACAAUACAGGUCCCAAUACGGGCCUUGUAAUUGGAAUGAGUACAAUUUAAAACCCCUUAAUGAGUAACAAUUGGAGGGCAAGUCUGGUGCCAGCAGCCGCGGUAAUUCCAGCUCCAAUAGCAUAUAUUAAAAUUUGUUGCAGUUAAAAAAGCUCGUAGUUGGAUCUCGGAACAGGGAAUAACUGGUCUGCCGGUUGGUAUGUACUGUGUUCCCGUUCUCUACUGAUGGUAAACUUAUCUCUACUCUUAAAUGAGCGGAGAGUAGAUCAGUAGAAUGAAUGUGUUUUCGAACUCAUUCAUUCU
This 528-nucleotide ribosomal RNA is filed under the name uncultured eukaryote. RNAcentral's name for it is "bacterial SSU rRNA". It matches the Rfam family "Eukaryotic small subunit ribosomal RNA", at positions 254 to 758 of the family's 1831-position model. The record is from RNAcentral.